This 32-nucleotide transfer RNA is filed under the name Aechmea marauensis. RNAcentral describes it as "partial tRNA-Phe". The record is from RNAcentral. Lineage: Eukaryota; Viridiplantae; Streptophyta; Magnoliopsida; Poales; Bromeliaceae. RNAcentral also lists the same sequence under 1 other name.
GUCGGGAUAGCUCAGUGGAGAGCAGAGGACUG